Alosa sapidissima (American shad) is the source of this 128-nucleotide long non-coding RNA. RefSeq lists it as uncharacterized. NCBI's taxonomy places the organism in Eukaryota, Metazoa, Chordata, Actinopteri, Clupeiformes, Clupeidae. The record is from RefSeq and is a predicted model, not a curated record. The transcript has 3 exons.
UCAAAACCAAUAGUAAAUAAUCAUCAAAUACCCUCUCCAGCUCUUGAAGUUCCUGCUUGCUCCUGCUGGUCCACCAUCUCAGUGUCAAGGUCCCCUCCAGCUCCCCUUGCACCUUGCAGUGUGUGUCU